GCAGGAAGUAGAGAUGCUGCUGGCCUUCUACUCUAGAUAGAUAGGCCACUUUGGCUGUGCUGACCCCUGCGAAUUCCCCAAAUGUGGGGAAUUUUGACUGCAUAAUAUCUGGUAGUGGGGGACUGCGUUUGCACUCUCCCCU
This is a small nuclear RNA of 142 nucleotides. Its record names the gene U1. It matches the Rfam family "U1 spliceosomal RNA". From Rfam's summary of the family: U1 is a small nuclear RNA (snRNA) component of the spliceosome (involved in pre-mRNA splicing). Its 5' end forms complementary base pairs with the 5' splice junction, thus defining the 5' donor site of an intron. The record is from Ensembl.